RNAcentral lists this ribosomal RNA (315 nucleotides) under uncultured archaeon. RNAcentral's name for it is "bacterial SSU rRNA". It matches the Rfam family "Archaeal small subunit ribosomal RNA", at positions 1029 to 1343 of the family's 1478-position model. The record is from RNAcentral.
UUUAGUCAGGCAACGAGCGAGACCCGUACCCACAGUUGCCAGCGGCUGCUCCGGCAGGCUGGGUACACUAUGGGGACCGCCUCUGCUAAAGAGGAGGAAGGAGCGGGCGACGGUAGGUCAGUAUGCCCCGAAUUCUCCGGGCUACACGCGGGCUACAAUGGAUGGGACAAUGGGCUCCGACACCGAAAGGUGAAGGCAAUCUCUUAAACCCAUUCUUAGUUCGGAUUGAGGGCUGAAACUCGCCCUCAUGAAGCUGGAAUCCGUAGUAAUCGCGUUUCAACAUAGCGCGGUGAAUACGUCCCUGCUCCUUGCACA